GAGAAGAACGCAGCGAAAUGCGAUAAGUAAUGCGAAUUGCAGAAUUCAGUGAGUCAUCGAAUCUUUGAACGCACAUUGCGCCCUGUGGUAUUCCGCAGGGCAUGCCUGUUCGAGCGUCAUUUCAACCCUCAAGCCUCGCUUGGUGUUGGGCCCUGCCCGCCGCGGCCGGCCCUAAAGAUAGUGGCGGCGCCGCCUGGCCCUCAGCGUAGUACAGCUCUCGCUCCAGGGUCCGGCGGCAGCCUGCCAGAACCCCCCAACUCUGUGGUUGACCUCGGAUCAGGUAGGGAUACCCGCUGAACUUAAGCAUAUCAAUAAGCGGAGGA
Molecule: unclassified non-coding RNA, 323 nt
Filed under: soil metagenome
Description: partial contains 5.8S ribosomal RNA, internal transcribed spacer 2, and large subunit ribosomal RNA
Rfam family: 5.8S ribosomal RNA (bases 3-119)
Source: RNAcentral